AGCGGCGGACGGGUGAGUAACGCGUGGGUAACCUGCUCAUACAGGGGGAUAACAGUUAGAAAUGACUGCUAAUACCGCAUAAGACCACAGCACCGCAUGGUGCGGGGUAAAAACUCCGGUGGUAUGAGAUGGACCCGCGUCUGAUUAGCUAGUUGGUAAGGUAACGGCUUACCAAGGCGACGAUCAGUAGCCGACCUGAGAGGGUGACCGGCCACAUUGGGACUGAGACACGGCCCAA
RNAcentral lists this ribosomal RNA (238 nucleotides) under uncultured bacterium. Its description in RNAcentral is "partial 16S ribosomal RNA". It matches the Rfam family "Bacterial small subunit ribosomal RNA", at positions 94 to 334 of the family's 1533-position model. The record is from RNAcentral.